Molecule: transfer RNA, 541 nt
Filed under: uncultured cyanobacterium
Lineage: Bacteria; Bacillati; Cyanobacteriota
Description: partial 16S-23S ribosomal RNA intergenic spacer
Rfam family: tRNA (bases 212-284)
Source: RNAcentral
CAGGGAGACAACAAAAUGUUUAAUAUUAUUAUUUUGUCACCUUAGGUCGAUCGGUAUCUCACAUUCUUAAUUAAUUAAGAAUUUCAUUUCCUAAGUUUUUCUAGGUCACACCCAUUAUUUUUCCUGGGCCAUUAGCUCAGGUGGUUAGAGCGCACCCCUGAUAAGGGUGAAGUCCCUGGUUCAAGUCCAGGAUGGCCCAUAUCUCUAUGUUGGGGGUAUAGCUCAGUUGGUAGAGCGCCUGCUUUGCAAGCAGGAUGUCAGCGGUUCGAGUCCGCUUACCUCCACUGAUCACCACCUCUUCCAUAAUCGGUAGAAAGGAAAUUUUUUGAGUUGUGAUCAAAUUCUGAAAGAAUCUAGCUUCCUAAUGAAAUCAUUAAGAUGCUGGACUCAUUGAAUUAAUUUCAUUGUUUUCAGAGAACCUUGACAACUGCAUAGAUUAUUUUUAAAGACAAUAAGCAUCUUUAAUGAUGCAGAUUUAUUAUUUGUGCAAAUGCAUUAAUAACAAUUCUAUUAAGCUGAUGCUUCAAUAUUUGAAGUUAUU